CCAGAAGCAACAGCAGCAGCCAGCAGCAGCGUGCAAGCUUAAGCGUUAGCAAGAGAGAGAGAGAGGUGGCAUUUGACUGCCACGCUUCGUCAGCUGUUCGGGGGCCGACGAGGCGACGUCUUCGGGUUCGUGGCUUGCCGUCGCGUCGCUUGUCGUGUGUGCGGAAGUGCAGAGCGCUUGCUGCUUGCUGGCGUCGGCGUCGAAACGCAGCGUAAGUGCAAGGCCAAACGCGUGCGAGAGAGAGCAAGAAAAAGUCGCUAGCAGUGAGAGGGAAUGCGGUGUGCGUUUGUGGGUGUGUGUGGUGUGUUUGUGUGUUUUUGUAUGCGCGACUGGCAAGUGUAACUGAUCGCGUUAGACGUGCGAAGACAGAGACUGAGAAAGAUGAAGAGGGCGAGGGACAGCGCGUGUAUAAUGUGUACAGUUUCUUUCCCAGUCGCAGUCCCCCUCAUAGUGAGCGCACCCUUCUCCACUGCCAUGACUAUUCCAUUCCGCGAAAGCACGCGCGUGCCCUUGAAAACUUAACCCACUGGCAGCCAACGACGGCGAACGCCAAAAGCAGCUGUUGCCAACACGCCCCCACCGCUCCAUACCCACACACCCCGCCACAACAAACGCGCCAUCAAACAGUUUUGCUCGCAAACAAAAGAAAGUGCACAAAUUGUUGAAAUUUUCUUAGCGAAAUCAGCAACGAAUCGGCAAACCAAUGCCCCGAAAAACAGCAAAAACCAUUCCUCGAAUCUCGCACGUACUCGCAAAAUGUUGCUUAGAGAGGUAACCCCGACACACACCCUUAGAUACCCCCUGCUCGACCAGGUCCAAGUGGCCAACAAUUUUCAUUGCCAAAUACAAUUUUUAUACAAAUGCGGUACGGUUUUUAUUUGUUGAGCUAUUUUUCGUCAUUUGUUGCGCAAAAGGAACGAAAAUAAAUCGCCAAAAACCAAACAUCAAACGAGAAACGCAAAACGUAAAAGGAAAUCCCUUGGAUACCCUUUGUAGAUUAAACGGUACUAUGGAAUAAUAUGGGCUUAUGUGAGCAAAAUAUGAAAAGAUAUUAGAAUAUAGAGCACAGAAAAUAUCAGAAAGCUGUGGGCAGGUGCCAAGAACACUUGGUGUUUAAGGGUUAAGAAGAUAACAAAUAGAAGAAACCAAAAAAUAAGCUAAGAUUUUAUAGCGUAACUCCAUUUGCAGCUAAAUGAAGUGUGAAACAAACACUUAAGGGGACAUACAAGUCUCAAAACAAAAUUCCAGAUAUGCAUACAUAUGUACGUUAUAUGUACAUAUAUCCAUAUUUAUGUACAGACCGUUGCAGAUUGAAAACUAUUUCUAGUGUAUUUAUUUAAACUUAUUAGAAUUUUAUAAAUUGCGAGGCUCGGCUUUGAUUAUUUUCAUUGAUGUAUGCACUAUGUACAUAUGUAUUUAUGUAGAAUGUACUAUGUAAUAUGUACGUGUCGCUAUUGCGUGGUUAUGUGUGGGUUCUCUUGAUAAGGCGGGCCUCCCCCCAUCUCAUAUUCGAUCGAGAAAAACUAUUUGAAAUUGCAAACGGCAAAGACUUUCUACUUAUGUAAAUACAUACAUACAUAUGUACAUAUCUACGUACAUUUGUGUGUUUUGUUUGUGUAUUUUAUGUGCGCACGCUGCCAAUUGCGAGUGGGGGGAAAAAUACCAUGUUCAAGGUCGUGCGGCGAAUGCACCUAAAGCUACAGCAACAACAACAAGUCGAAGGGAGAAUGAAAAAGAGAGCAGACAAGCAGGCUUCUUCAUGAACCAAAGAUUUUGAUACACUCAAACGAGAGCAUUACAUUUACAUUAGAUAUAAUCUUUAAGUUUGAAACAGUUAUGCAUAGUGUGAUCCGAGCUGUGGAAAGUCUUUCGACUGAAAGCUUUACGCUCAGUGGUUCAACAUCUGUACCAAAGUCGGGGUACCCUUUAUUACAGGGUAUAAAAAUAACCCACAGAAAUUCUGUCCCUAACAUACGCAAAAUGUUUGAGUUCUACAAAUUGCAAAAAACUAGUGUAAAUAUGUACAAUACCCAUAUACGAGUAUAUAACGGCUAUAUCCAUACGUACAUACAUUCACAUACGAGAUUGCUGCUUGGUCGUCAAUUGCAAACGCGUCGCGUCGCUGCCAUUGAAUUUUCACUGUCAAGGUCGAGCGUUGUUCUGAUGCGCAACGCAAUGCGCAAUGCGAUCGCUAGACAGAGACGCAGCAUUUACCAAAAGCGGGAGAGAAGGCACGCAGAGAGCGAAGAGAGUGGCAAAGUGUGCGAAACGAAAACGAGAACGAGUGCACAAAAGCUAUGAGAGAAUGCACACAAGCACACACACACGAGAGUACUGCGCUGGCCUGGCCUGGGCUGCUUCUUCCGCACAGUGGGUGUGGCGGGAAUGGAAAUUUACAACACAUAUAAUAUACCCAAACUAUUCAAAUAUAUUUCUAAUAAAAAUAACAAGAAAGGAACAUUUAGCAGAAUAGAGGCUUCAGGCUGUCCGCACAUAUUUCUUUUAAACAUUUAAUAUUUUUCUCGCUUUAUGCAUAGCUACUAUUCCCCGAGCACACACAUUCUUGUUCCUACACAAAUUGUUGAUAUAUAUUUUUUUUUUAUACUUCGUUUCAUAAUUUUUGUGGUUUAUCAUUUUUCAGCGAUCACCUCUUAACCCACUGUGGAUGGAUGUGUGAGUGUGUGUGUGUGUGUGUGGGCGCAUUUGGCGGAAACGAUAUGCGGCUGCGGCUUAUGUAAUGCACGACAACAACAACGACAGCGUCUCGUUGGCAGCGUCAAAUGCAUACGCACACACGCUCCACGUGGACCCCCUCCCUUCUGACGCUGCCACAGGGCCACCGUUUGGCCCUCUCCACCGCUUCCUGCACUUUGUUGUUGCUGCUGCUGCAGCUUUUUGUUAUUGUCGUUUUGGCGGCUGUCGGCUGUGCUUUUCAUAUCGCGCUCUGGCUCUGGCCUUUUGAAGGGGUAUUCUUAUUUUGAUGUUAUGUUUGCAAUGCUCGGCUAAAAGUUUUGCCCAUGGUUAUCGAUCAAUGUCCAAAAGGGUAUCCAAAGCCUCGAUGCGUUUUUUGUUUUUUGUUUUAUGUGCUCAACUUUUUUGCAUGUUUUUCUAUCGCAUUUGUUUUCUCAAGUUCGCGCGGCGGCUCUUGUGCAAUUUGUCAUAAUGCCCCAGCAGAGGCGACCCUUCCAUUCCCGCAAUUCCGAGCACAGCCUCACCCACACUCACACUCGCAAGCACACACGCACAGAUACAGACACACUGAGUAUGCGUAAUAUUUCAAAGGAGAAGAAAAUUGCAGCGUAAACAAAAACAAGCCGCCGCCAAAUGCACUUUUUGCCAUAAAUCAAGGAAGAGCAAGAAGAAGAGAAGGGGAAGGGUGUGCCGGUAGACAGACAGAACGGCGCCACGCCCUCAACUGAGCAACAUGAAGACAUAAUUUGACAUAAGCGAUGUUAAAGUUCACCAAAAUCCAGCAAAAUAACAACAAAAUCAGCAACAAAAAGCUCCAAAGUGCAUGCCAUAAAAGCAAAACAGAACAUGAGAAACUCUAAGCUCUGAGCCGAAGCUGUAAAUACCCUUUCAAACAUAAGUACAUAUGUACAUAUGAGGGUAUCAAUGUGUACCCUGUAGUAAGGGUACCCAAAACACGCAGAGAGAGAGAAGGAGAAAAAGAGCUUUAAGCAUUUGACUAUUAAUGAUAAUGGGGUGGAGCAGGAACCAGCAGCAGCAGCAGUUAGGAGCGGUAGAGUUGUAAGCAAUGAUUGACUCGAGCUCAAAACUUGACGACGGCACCGUCAGCAUCGAGGCAGCGGUCGACGGUCGGCGGUCGGCUCUUUUGGUGAUAAUGUCAAAGGCGGCCAACAAACGGUCUGGCACUGAGCACGUCUACCUACCCCAGCCCCCGUCGCAUGCUUAAUCAUGCGCGGAGCUUCAGGAAGGAAAAAAAAAAAUGGAAAUGCAGCAGCAAAAGCAGCGCCUGUCAAAGCUGCGAUUAAUCUCACUCACAGAUGCUAGAGUGAGAAACAGAGAGAGCGCGAGAGAGGGUGUGAUCGGCAGAGAGGCUCUCUCUCGCUUCUUCCAUAGCUGAAGCAGAGGAAGGAGAGCAAUGCGCACAGUGGCACAGAAGUGAUUUUAUUUGGCAAAAUGCACUUCGAUCUAUCCAGGGAAAACCUAGAAAAUAUUUAUUUUUACUCAAUCCAGCUGUGAUCUAUUGCCAUGUUCACAUUCAAUUACGGAAAGUGAUUGAUGGCUGGAAAACCAGUCCCAAAAUUUAAGAAUAUUUCAAGAGAAAUUUAUUUCUGUGCAAAUUAAAAGCAAAUCAAACUUUUUUCUUAAGGAAACCCCCAAACGAAAAGCCUUUCCGGCUCCUCUUUGUGUCACUGUGGCUAACCAGCGGCACUCAUAAUUGAGAUAUGAACUUGGUAAUAAUUCAUAAAAGAGAAAUAAAAAAAAAGGAAAAGAAAAUAUAUAAAAGAAAAAGCCUGGCCAAGAGGCAGAGGACUGUUCAGCCAGUUGGCCAAGGACUGGCAGCAGCAGCAGCAUCGACGACGCAGACGCGAACACAGAGAACGAUCGCGCGGCUUGUUCGUCUAGAAAUAACUUAAUUGUCACUCAAUUACUCAGUUUUCAGCUAAAAGCAUUCAUUGCUCUGGCUUAACGUCAAAAUGCAGUGGAGAGCAGAGAGAGCGAAGUGGCUAGAGCCAGGGGAACCCGUCGCCUAGGCGUGAAUAAUAGUCCCAAAGCCGUCCAAGGCGUCCAUUGGCCAUGGCCGGUGAAUGAAAAUUGAUGAGUUGCGACAGUUUUUGGCCAAAGGGCAAAAACCAGCCAAAGGAAAAGGUGCCUGCAUGCCUGCCUGCCUGCCUGCCUGCCUCGAAAACGGGGCACGGCCGCCAUGCCACAAGAACGUUCCUCUCUCUCGAGAGUGGUGUGGCAUGGUAUUGGAGGAUUGAAGGGUGAGCGGGGGUUAAUAAUGGACAAACUACUUUGUCAU
Molecule: long non-coding RNA, 4990 nt
Filed under: Drosophila guanche
Lineage: Eukaryota; Metazoa; Arthropoda; Insecta; Diptera; Drosophilidae
Source: RNAcentral